CUUGGUCAUUUAGAGGAAGUAAAAGUCGUAACAAGGUUUCCGUAGGUGAACCUGCGGAAGGAUCAUUCAUAAUAAGUGUUUUAUGGCACUUUUUAAAUCCAUAUCCACCUUGUGUGCAAUGUCAGUCGAUCUUCCUCAUGGAGAUCGACCAAACAUCAACCUUUAUUUUUUAACUCUUUGUCUGAAAAAUAUUAUGAAUAAACAAUUCAAAAUAUAACUUUCAACAACGGAUCUCUUGGCUCUCGCAUCGAUGAAGAACGCAGCGAAAUGCGAUACGUAAUGUGAAUUGCAGAAUUCAGUGAAUCAUCGAAUCUUUGAACGCAUAUUGCGCUCUUUGGUAUUCCGAAGAGCAUGCUUGUUUGAGUAUCAGUAAACACCUCAACCUCUCUUUUUUGAUAAAAAAAAGGGAGGGUGGACUUGAGCUAUCCCAACGACCUUCACCGGUAGGCGGGCGGCUUGAAAUGCAGGUGCAGCUGGACUUUUAUCUGAGCUAAAAGCAUAUCUAUUUAGUCCUCGUCAAACAGGAUUAUUACUUUUGCUGCAGCUAACAUAAAGGAUAAUUGUCCUCUUUGCUGACUGAUGCAGGAUUUUACGACACUUUAUGUGUUGUUCAACUCGAUCUCAAAUCAAGUAAGACUACCCGCUGAACUUAAGCAUAUCAAUAAGCGGAGGAAAAGAAACUAACAAGGAUUCCCCUAGUAACGGCGAGUGAAGCGGGAUGAGCUCAAAUUUGAAAUCUGGCUGGUUUACUAGUCCGAGUUGUAAUUUAAAGAAGCGUUUUCGGUGGCAGCCUGGGUAUAAAUCCUUUGGAAUAGGGUAUCAUAGAGGGUGAGAAUCCCGUCUUUGACCUAGUGCAUGCUACUAUGUGAUACGUUUUCAAAGAGUCGAGUUGUUUGGGAAU
This 901-nucleotide small RNA is filed under the name uncultured Mortierella. RNAcentral's name for it is "eukaryotic LSU rRNA". The stretch from base 617 to 901 matches the Rfam family "Eukaryotic large subunit ribosomal RNA", at positions 1 to 281 of the family's 3401-position model. The record is from RNAcentral. Lineage: Eukaryota; Fungi; Mortierellomycota; Mortierellomycetes; Mortierellales; Mortierellaceae.